RNAcentral lists this ribosomal RNA (497 nucleotides) under uncultured bacterium. RNAcentral describes it as "partial 16S ribosomal RNA". It matches the Rfam family "Bacterial small subunit ribosomal RNA", at positions 28 to 507 of the family's 1533-position model. The record is from RNAcentral.
GAUGAACGCUGGCGGCGUGCCUAAUACAUGCAAGUCGAGCGAACGGACGAGGAGCUUGCUUCUCUGAUGUUAGCGGCGGACGGGUGAGUAACACGUGGGUAACCUACCUAUAAGACUGGGAUAACUUCGGGAAACCGGAGCUAAUACCGGAUGAUAUAUUGAACCGCAUGGUUCAAUAGUGAAAGACGGUUUUGCUGUCACUUAUAGAUGGAUCCGCGCUGCAUUAGCUAGUUGGUAAGGUAACGGCUUACCAAGGCAACGAUGCGUAGCCGACCUGAGAGGGUGAUCGGCCACACUGGAACUGAGACACGGUCCAGACUCCUACGGGAGGCAGCAGUAGGGAAUCUUCCGCAAUGGGCGAAAGCCUGACGGAGCAACGCCGCGUGAGUGAUGAAGGUCUUCGGAUCGUAAAACUCUGUUAUUAGGGAAGAACAAAUGUGUAAGUAACUAUGCACGUCUUGACGGUACCUAAUCAGAAAGCCACGGCUAACUACGUG